UACGGAAGGCAGCAGUGGGGAAUAUUGCACAAUGGGCGCAAGCCUGAUGCAGCCAUGCCGCGUGUAUGAAGAAGGCCUUCGGGUUGUAAAGUACUUUCAGUCGUGAGGAAGGUGUUAAGGUUAAUAACCUUAGCAAUUGACGUUAGCGACAGAAGAAGCACCGGCUAACUCCGUGCCAGCAGCCGCGGUAAUACGGAGGGUGCGAGCGUUAAUCGGAAUUACUGGGCGUAAAGGGCACGCAGGCGGUUAAUUAAGUUGGAUGUGAAAUCCCCGGGCUUAACCUGGGAAUGGCAUUCAAGACUGGUUAGCUAGAGUCUUGUAGAGGGGGUAGAAUUCCAUGUGUAGCGGUGAAAUGCGUAGAGAUGUGGAGGAAUACCGGCGGCGAAGGCGGCCCCUGGCAAAGACUGACGCUCAUGUGCGAAAGCGUGGGGAGCAAACAGGGAUUAGAUACC
Molecule: ribosomal RNA, 452 nt
Filed under: uncultured bacterium
Lineage: Bacteria
Description: bacterial SSU rRNA
Rfam family: Bacterial small subunit ribosomal RNA
Source: RNAcentral